GAUGAAGAACGUAGCGAAAUGCGAUAAGUAGUGUGAAUUGCAGAAUUCUGUGAAUCAUCGAAUCUUUGAACGCACAUUGCGCCCCAUGGUAUUCCGUGGGGCAUGCCUGUUCGAGCGUCAUUUACCCCCUCAAGCUCCGCUUGGUGUUGGGCGUCUGUCCCGCUUCGCGCGCGGACUCGCCCCAAAGGUAUUGGCAGCGGUCGUGCCAGCUUCUCGCGCAGCACAUUGCGCUUCUCGAGGCACCGGUGGGCCCGCGUCCAUCAAGCUCACCCCCCCAGUUUGACCUCGGAUCAGGUAGGGAUACCCGCUGAACUUAAGCAUAUCAAUAAGCGGAGGA
This 337-nucleotide unclassified non-coding RNA is filed under the name soil metagenome. RNAcentral's name for it is "partial contains 5.8S ribosomal RNA, internal transcribed spacer 2, and large subunit ribosomal RNA". The stretch from base 1 to 120 matches the Rfam family "5.8S ribosomal RNA", at positions 35 to 154 of the family's 154-position model. The record is from RNAcentral.